This 425-nucleotide ribosomal RNA is filed under the name uncultured bacterium. RNAcentral's name for it is "partial 16S ribosomal RNA". It matches the Rfam family "Bacterial small subunit ribosomal RNA", at positions 354 to 796 of the family's 1533-position model. The record is from RNAcentral.
GUGGGGAAUCUUGCGCAAUGGGCGAAAGCCUGACGCAGCCAUGCCGCGUGAAUGAUGAAGGUCUUAGGAUUGUAAAAUUCUUUCACCGGGGACGAUAAUGACGGUACCCGGAGAAGAAGCUCCGGCUAACUUCGUGCCAGCAGCCGCGGUAAUACGAAGGGGGCUAGCGUUGCUCGGAAUUACUGGGCGUAAAGGGCGCGUAGGCGGACAGCUUAGUCAGAGGUGAAAGCCCAGGGCUCAACCUUGGAAUGGCCUUUGAUACUGGCUGUCUUGAGUUUGGGAGAGGUGAGUGGAACUCCGAGUGUAGAGGUGAAAUUCGUAGAUAUUCGGAAGAACACCAGUGGCGAAGGCGACUCACUGGCCCAAUACUGACGCUGAGGCGCGAAAGCGUGGGGAGCAAACAGGAUUAGAAACCCUUGUAGUCC